UGGCUUUUUUUUUUUUUUUAAGGGAAGGAUGAAACAUUCCUCCAGUCCAAACACAACCUCUACUUUGAUUAAAUAAAUAUUUAUCUUUAUUGUAACCAUUGUAUAUUUUACCGUUAGUUUAUACCCGGUUUCUGAUUAUUAUUUAAAUUUUUCAUUUGCAGCAGCUAAUCGUUUUUUUCUUUCAGCCCAAAGUGCAGGUCAGUGUAAAAUGUAGCUGAAUGAAGGAAGCCUGGUGUGUCUGAAUUUUUUCAUAAUAUAUCAGAAAUGAGAAAAGGGAGCAUCCGAUCUUCCUUGGCGCGGAUCCCGCGAAAUUCGGAAGGCGCGGUUAGUAAAAAUGCAAGAGUGGAGGACAGCUGGUGGGGUCAGUAAGCACACCGGGAACUUCCAGGCGACACCCCUCUGACUAAGAGGAAUUCGGAGGCGCGAGGAGCAGCGCCGCCCAGACCCCGUUCAUCUAGAAAACAGUCAGCUAGGAGCCCACUGGUCCCCUUCAAUCAUGAUGGAGUUAGGGUGACAUUUGGGGACCACUCAGCCUUCCCAUAAAGGGAGUCCCUGUUGCCUCCGGACUCCUUCAGGUGAACCGGGCGCAGAACCUUGGCCACUUUUUUUUUGCCCACUUGACCCACCCUUCCAACUUCUGCCCAGUAGCCUUCUUCCCUUCCUUCCUCACCUCACCUCACCCCCAGAAACCUCCAGGGGCCAGGCGGGGCAGCUACAGGUUGUUUCGAUCUAGCCUCUUCCAGAUCCGAGAUACGGAAAACAGCCUUCUCACUUUUCUGAUGCUACAGUAUUUUCCUGCUCCUCUGGAUAGUCUGCUAACGCCCACAUCCCGAAAGGAGAUUAUUUUGAGUUUAUUUGUUUGUUUGUUUGUUUUUAGUUGCUUAAAUCAAUACAUCAAAUACAAACUCUUCAAACUUAA
This is a long non-coding RNA of Vombatus ursinus (common wombat), 919 nucleotides long. RefSeq lists it as uncharacterized. The transcript is spliced from 2 exons. Lineage: Eukaryota; Metazoa; Chordata; Mammalia; Diprotodontia; Vombatidae. The record is from RefSeq and is a predicted model, not a curated record.